AGCAGCCAUCAUUUAAAGAAAGCGUAAUAGCUCACUGGUCGAGUCGGCCUGCGCGGAAGAUGUAACGGGGCUAAGCGAUACACCGAAGCUGCGGCAAUGUCCUUAUGGAUAUUGGGUAGGGGAGCGUUGUGUAAGCUGUUGAAGGUGUGCUGAGAGGCAUGCUGGAGGUAUCACAAGUGCGAAUGCUGACAUGAGUAACGAUAAAGGG
This 208-nucleotide ribosomal RNA is filed under the name Salinivibrio kushneri. RNAcentral's name for it is "partial 23S ribosomal RNA". It matches the Rfam family "Bacterial large subunit ribosomal RNA", at positions 1111 to 1319 of the family's 2925-position model. Lineage: Bacteria; Pseudomonadati; Pseudomonadota; Gammaproteobacteria; Vibrionales; Vibrionaceae. The record is from RNAcentral.